GUGCUCGCUUUGGCAGCACAUAUACUAAAACUGGAACGUUACAGAGAUUAGCUUAGCCCCUGUGCAAAGAAGCAAUGCACAUUUGUGAAGCAUCCCAUAUUUUU
Molecule: small nuclear RNA, 104 nt
Organism: Dipodomys spectabilis (banner-tailed kangaroo rat)
Lineage: Eukaryota; Metazoa; Chordata; Mammalia; Rodentia; Heteromyidae
Source: RefSeq, a predicted model, not a curated record